RNAcentral lists this long non-coding RNA (1178 nucleotides) under Bemisia tabaci. RNAcentral's name for it is "lncRNA ENSASIAIIG003427". The record is from RNAcentral. Lineage: Eukaryota; Metazoa; Arthropoda; Insecta; Hemiptera; Aleyrodidae.
AGUUUUAAAGACUAUUUAGAUGCCUGUUUUUAUACGUUACCUGAAGGAGAUCUCAAGGAUCAAAGGUUGGACAUCGUGCGGAAAUGUGUGGAUUACCUGAUCAUGCGCUACGGGUACAACCCAUCGGUAGAGCAGAGGGUCAACGCUGCCAAGAAAUUGUAGUGCUGUAUCCACGAUUUCGUAAUCAAGAUCCGUCGUCAAAGGGAUAUGAGCACCUAGCCGAUCCUGACAAUUACGGGGCUGGUUUUAUCUCGAACAGAUUCAAGAAUGUCAAAAGGAAUGUUCUCAAGAAAGGUAUGAGGGUAAAAAAAAUCUGGAGGAAGACUAAAAGAGACAGGGACUCUCUUCCAGCGAAGCUCACGGCACGAGACGUUUUCAUCGAAGACGAGGAAUUCCUUCGUGCCAUCGAAGUUUUGAAAGCGGCCGCACCAACCAAAGAUUUACAAUCCAUCAUAGACACAACUCUUAAAUUUGCUCCCUCUAUCCAGAGAUACAUCGAGGCGAACGCAUCUACCAUGGACUUGGAGGCAACCUUUCCUCGCUUCUAUGACGUCAAAAACUUGAUUGCUGUAUGUUUUGAUCAAUUAUUCCCGCAUUGCUCUGGUGUGAGUAUCCAAAAUUGGUGGAAUGAAUAUCGAGCCGCUGUAACGGUCGUUCUUCAGGAAUCUUCGCACACUGUGCAAAGUGCGUACGGCGAGACUUUCAAAGACUGGUCGGAGGACAUCAGAACUUUCAUCAACUUGGCUUUCUUGUUUCCAUCGCGCGAGAAACGGGACCUGAGCCAGUCGGAAGGGCGCUACGAAGAGCGAGUCGUCGGGGGUCUCAUCAGAUUCAACAAAAGCGGAGUCCCGCUCACCGAGUGUCUGUCCGCCGUCCAGAAAAGGGAACCCUUCAUCCUAGCAGAAGGAACCUCGAAAGCACGAAUCACGAAAUUCUUCGUCGUCAUCGACAAGCACCCGGUCGUCGUGCCCGAAACCAGUUUCUUCGACGCAAUCGACAUCAUGUUCAAGAGCUAUUUUCUCUUCUCGAUUCCGUUUAACCCAGCCGUUAAGUUUUUCCUCCGCUUUCUAGACUGUUACGUGUAUAAAGCGUCUCUGAAUACGGCCACGAGUCAAAUGAGGGAGGUUUACUCUAAACUUCUUUGCAAGAAGGACGAACACCUCAUGGUUGAACCAUGA